AGGGCUAUCGCCAAACGGUAAGGCAUCAGACUUUGACUCUGUUAUUUCCGGGUUCGAAUCCCGGUAGCCCUG
This 72-nucleotide transfer RNA is filed under the name Caudoviricetes sp. RNAcentral's name for it is "tRNA-Gln". It matches the Rfam family "tRNA". Rfam says of the family: Transfer RNA (tRNA) molecules are approximately 80 nucleotides in length. Their secondary structure includes four short double-helical elements and three loops (D, anti-codon, and T loops). Further hydrogen bonds mediate the characteristic L-shaped molecular structure. tRNAs have two regions of fundamental functional importance: the anti-codon, which is responsible for specific mRNA codon recognition, and the 3' end, to which the tRNAs corresponding amino acid is attached (by aminoacyl-tRNA synthetases). tRNAs cope with the degeneracy of the genetic code in two manners: having more than one tRNA (with a specific anti-codon) for a particular amino acid; and 'wobble' base-pairing, i.e. permitting non-standard base-pairing at the 3rd anti-codon position. The record is from RNAcentral. Lineage: Duplodnaviria; Heunggongvirae; Uroviricota; Caudoviricetes.